UUCUAUCUUUUUAUUUUACUUUUACUUUUAUUUUCUUUUUAUUUAUUAUAUGAUUUAAAAAACAAACCUUGCUACAUGUACUGCAUUAAAGGGUUAGUUCACCCAAAAAUUUAAAUUGACUUGUGUUUUACUCAUCCUCAAAGCAUCUUAGAUGUAUUUAAUUUUCUUCUUUCAGACGAUUCCAGUCAGAUUUAUAUAAAAAAUCGUCCUGGCUAUUCCAAGCUCUAUCACUGCAGUCAGCGGGUGUUGCAUUCAAACAGUCCACUAGUUGUCAAAUAAAGCGCGCGCAUCCAUAAUAAAUUGUGCUUCACACGGAUCCGAGUGGUUUUGUAAGAAAAAUAUCCAUAUUUCAAAUGUAAUAUACACUUUUCCAUCACUUCCGCCAACUGUCAUACGUGGAAGCCGUGCCGGCAGACAACGUAGCACAUCGGCCUUGUGUGAUUAGUGCCUAACGGAGAGAGAGAACAAAACAAAACGCCAAAAAUUCACCCCCUCACAGUUGUCAUGAAGGGUAGGUAAAAUUAGCAAUAUAGACCAAAAUAAUUUUUUGAACCAGGCUGUAAACGUUUUUUUCUGCUGUAUAGUUGGCCAUUUUAACAUGGGGAGUCUAUGGGACUGACUCCCUUUUGCAGCCAGCCUCAAGCGGCCAGUCGAUGAAUUGCAGUUUUAGUCACUUCCUUAUUGUCUUCACGAGAGAGAGGGAGGUUGCCGCUCAGUCGUGAACAAGAAACGUCAGACUAUACGUUACCCGACCAUUAAAAUCAUGCCGUCAUAAACAACGUGCGUGCUGUCAUCAAUAGUGCUAGACAAGACAGAAUCUGCUAUGAUCAUAAACAAACAAUGGCUAGCAAAAAAAUGGCUUGUUUUGCCCUGUCUUGUCAUCAGAAAAGCCCCAAAAAGAAAGAAAACCUGACAAUGGACACAUAUCUGGAUGGCCUGAAGAGGAUGGUAUGGACUGUCAAAGAGAACUGAGGUAAAUAUAUUUUAUUUGACCUUUUUUUCACUGUUUCGCGGUAGUCCCUCAUCAUAAAUGCAUGAGUAUCGUUGCCAUAGCUCCACGAACAUUUUCCUCCAUUGUAAAAUAACACCUAGCAGUACCGAUACCAUUGUCUCCCUUUCGUUUCGGCAUGUUUGAAAGCUUGUACAAAGGCACUUCUGUGCUCCUAUUGGCCAGUGUCAUAGCUGUGAUGGAACUGAGGAGCGUCUCGCUGCAGCCUGCGGUGGACAUCCAACCCGGCCCACAUCCAAGUGUGACGUCACAGACCACGCCCAUGUCAAAAUACGUCACAUUCUCAAUCAUUUUGAAACAGGAAGAAGCAUCGAUAAGAAGAUAAUUUGUAUUGUUUGCCAACCGCUAAAAAAAGAAGCUGUUGUUUGCCGUGUCGGAUUCUACACAUUUUCAGUCCAAGCCUGAUGCAGGGCAGUUCUCCCGGGUUAAGGGGUCCCUGCUGCAGUUUCACCAGUAAAGAAAAUUACUUGUUACAGUUCACUUGAAGGACCACAUAAGCCAUGCAGUGGUGCAUGGAGGAGCGCCAAGAGGACAUAAAGUGGAAGUUUGUAAGGGACAUUGGUCCAGCGUGGUACAGAGUCAUCGUAGGUUAUUCUGUGGGGAGGUGACAGGGCCUGCCGUUCUCCAGAUGGACAGUAAAAAUCAACAGAAUGCCAUCAAAGACUACCUGGAGGGAGAAUCGGAGGAUAUAUUGAAGCAAGGAAUCUCUCUGUGUAGUCUAUGUAUGUAUGUGUGUGUACUGCAUGUCAAGAACUGUUUAUCUGAUCAUUCAGCUGCUCAGACUUUAUAAUAUUUGGAGCAUACCUUUUGUUAAACAACCAGUCAAAAGUUUUUGAACAGUGAGAUUUUUUUAUGUUUUUAAAGAAAUAUCUUCUGCUCAUCAAGCCUGCAUUUAUUUAAUCCGAAGUACAGCAAAAACAGUCCAAUUUUAAAAUAUUUGUAUAAUAUUUUGCUUUUGUAAUAUAUUUUGCUAUUUAAAAUAACAAUUUUCUAUAUUUCUAUUAAAAUGAAAUUUAUUCCUGUGAUUUCAAAGGUGACUUACUCCAGUCACAUGAUCCUUCAUUCUAAUAUGCUGAUUUGAUGCUCAAAAAACAUUUUAUUAUUAUUAUGUUAAUACACUGAAGACUGGAGUAAUGAUGAAGAAAAUUCAGCUUUGAUCACAGGAAUAAACUGCAUUUUUAAAAUACAUUCAAAUAGAAAGCAGUUCUUUUAAAUUGUAAAAAUAUUUCACAUUACUGUUUUUGCUGUGUUUUUGGAUCAAAUAAAUCCUGGCUUGGUGAGCAGAAGAGACUUUAAAAAAUAAUAAAAAUCUUACUGUUCAAAAACUGGUGGUGUAUAUUAUUAUUAUUAUUAUUAUUAUUAUUUGUAAAAUUGUACAUGUAAUUAUUUUUGUAAAAUAAUAAAUAUAAAAAUACCCAAUGAAACAAUGGAUGCCUUUUUCAUUCAUCUUUAAGUAUGUGGAGGACCUGGACAUGUUUCAUAUCAAGUUGUGAUGAACAAGGCCUGCAGGUCAAUGUCCUGUUACUUAUAUAAUCUAUCAAUGCAAUCUUUAUUCAGC
This is a long non-coding RNA of Cyprinus carpio carpio, 2567 nucleotides long. NCBI's taxonomy places the organism in Eukaryota, Metazoa, Chordata, Actinopteri, Cypriniformes, Cyprinidae. The record is from Ensembl.